This 242-nucleotide long non-coding RNA is filed under the name Lathyrus oleraceus (garden pea). RNAcentral's name for it is "Pisum sativum (pea) long non-coding RNA (PSAT_LNC034603)". Lineage: Eukaryota; Viridiplantae; Streptophyta; Magnoliopsida; Fabales; Fabaceae. The record is from RNAcentral.
CUUUUUCAAGAGUUGUGGUACUUACCAAUUCUUUUUCGUUCUCCCCAACUUAUUUCUUCCACACCCUAAGUGAAUGCUCUUAACUUUUUACGGCAAAAGAACAAUAAUCAAGAUUUUUCGGGUUGUAAAAAAAAAGAUUUUUGAGAUCUCGCUUUAUUUCAAGCCGAGAUUCAACUGUUUAGGCUCAAAGGGGUUAACAAAUACUCUCUCUGCUCACAGGUAAGUUGUUUUUGGAUGUAGUU